Long non-coding RNA from Schistocerca piceifrons (Central American locust), 845 nucleotides. RefSeq lists it as uncharacterized. Lineage: Eukaryota; Metazoa; Arthropoda; Insecta; Orthoptera; Acrididae. The transcript is spliced from 4 exons. The record is from RefSeq and is a predicted model, not a curated record.
CAAACAUGAUUUCUGGUCUUGUCAAAUCAGUGUCAAACAGAGUAGCCGAAGAAGUACUGUAGCGGUUUCGUUUGGGUAGAUGCUAGAUGAUAUGCGCAGUACGGAUAGCUACAGAAUUCAGCUGUAUACAUUAUUAGUGCUUGGUGAUUUAAGAUAAAACUAUGGAAAUUGUAACUUCACUGAGGAAUUUGGGUGAUGGGAGACACUCCAUCCACACUGAAGAAGCAGAGAAAAUAAAGGGGCAUUACUCGGCAUGACUCAGCAGGCUCUCUGUCAUCAGGGAUUUUGCCAUAAGUGACAGUCAGCAUCUAACAGUGAAGUGUUGACUGUGUGUGCUGAUUCUGAUCAUACAGAGUGUGAGUAGUACGGAGAUGCUUCAUGAAAUCGAAUGUGAAUCCUUGGAGGGUAGACAAUAUCCUUCUCAUGGAACACUGUUGAGAAAAUUUAGAGAACCAGCAUUUGAAGCUGACUGCAAACUACUCUUCUGCUGCAAAUGAUAAAUGAUACAUGUCGUGUAAAGAUCACAAAGGCCCAAAAAUCUGCUUGAAGGGAACAAUAAGAAGUAUUAGAAGGGAAAACUAGAUACUAGAAAAACAGAUAAAAAUUAUUGUAUCUAAUGUUUUUAGUGUAAAAAUGCUGGUGAGUUACAAAAUACAGAAAGGAAAUGGUGCAAAUCAAUUGCAUUCUAAUUUUCUUUCGUCAGAACACAUUUAAAAUUGAAUCACGAUAUUUUCUUGAAUAUGCUGGAGCCAUGUUAUAAAUGACUCUGCAUAUACCCUGUAUUAUUUAAAAUGUUUGUUGAUAAUAUGUAGUACCACUAAAAAUAAUAAAUAUCCAGAAAUAUA